This 483-nucleotide ribosomal RNA is filed under the name uncultured bacterium. RNAcentral describes it as "partial 16S ribosomal RNA". It matches the Rfam family "Bacterial small subunit ribosomal RNA", at positions 28 to 523 of the family's 1533-position model. The record is from RNAcentral.
GACGAACGCUGGCGGCGUGCUUAACACAUGCAAGUCGAACGAUGAAGCCGGAGCUUGCUCCGGUGGAUUAGUAGCGAACGGGUGAGUAACACGUGAGCAAUCUGCCCUUGACUCUGGGAUAACUGCGGGAAACUGUAGCUAAUACCGGAUACGACACCUUGGGGCAUCCCAGGGCGUGGAAAGAAUUUCGGUCAAGGAUGAGCUCGCGGCCUAUCAGCUAGUUGGUGAGGUAAUGGCUCACCAAGGCGACGACGGGUAGCCGGCCUGAGAGGGUGACCGGCCACACUGGAACUGAGACACGGUCCAGACUCCUACGGGAGGCAGCAGUGGGGAAUAUUGCACAAUGGGCGAAAGCCUGAUGCAGCAACGCCGCGUGAGGGAUGAAGGCCUUCGGGUUGUAAACCUCUUUUAGCAGGGAAGAAGCGAAAGUGACGGUACCUGCAGAAAAAGCACCGGCUAACUACGUGCCAGCAGCCGCCGUAA